AGGAUUAACGCUGGCGGCGUGCCUAACACAUGCAAGUCGAACGAGGUAGCAAUACCUAGUGGCAGACGGGUGAGUAACGCGUGGUCAACCUACCCUCGAGUGGGGGAUAACUAGCCGAAAGGCUAGCUAAUACCGCAUAAUACCGUAGCCGGCAUCGGCAUCGGUUGAAAGCAGCAAUGCACUCGGGGACGGGACCGCGUCCGAUUAGUUAGUUGGUGGGUAACGGCCUACCAAGACUCCGAUCGGUAGCUGGUUUGAGAGAACGACCAGCCACACUGGGACUGAGAACGGCCCAGACUCCUACGGGAGGCAGCAGUGAGGAAUUUUCCGCAAUGGGCGAAAGCCUGACGGAGCGACGCCGCGUGUGGGAAGAAGGCCUUCGGGUCGUAAACCACUGUCGAGGGGGACGAUACUGACGGUACCCCUGGAGGAAGCCCGGCUAACUACGUGCCAGCAGCCGC
Molecule: ribosomal RNA, 461 nt
Filed under: uncultured bacterium
Lineage: Bacteria
Description: SSU rRNA
Rfam family: Bacterial small subunit ribosomal RNA
Source: RNAcentral